GUGUAUGUAUAUAUAUCAAAUCAUCACACUGUACAUCUUAAAUAUACACAAUUUUUAUUUUUCAGUUAUAUCUUAAUAAAGGUGGAAAAAAUUAUAGCAUUUCUUUCCCCUAUUUUUGGCUGCAUGCAUACCAUGUAGAGUCAUCAUAUAAAGUUUUUCAGUUUGUUGACUUAAAAGGCACAGGACCAAGAGUGUGAAUGGGGACUGCAAUUAACCCAUACUCUGCUCUCUAACUUGUAUAUCCUAGUUUGGUCCUGCCCCAUCCAAGAGGAAAGAGCACCAUUUCACCAUUUUGUAGUUCAGCUACUUUGAGGACACAUCUUAGUAUGAUUUGUCUUCUUGAAGAGGCUACCUUUUAGUACUUUGUAUAAAUACCUUAUAUGUAUUGGUGGAAAUCCUAGAACAAUGGAUACUAUUUUCUUAUCCUGGAAUUCGGGCCACCUCACAGCCUUUAGUCUAGCUGAGACUAAUAACCAGUUAUAAAAUGCCCCUCAUAAUUCUCUCCAAAGGUCUCGUGAUUGUAACUGGGUCUGUGGUAUAAUUUUUAAAUCAGAAUUCUUCAGUUGCAGACCACAGCAAUUGAUUUUGCAUAACUUAAACAAAAAGGAGUAUUUAGAAGGAUAUUGGAAUUACUCAAAUCUAAACUGACAUGCUGAAAAACAAGGCCUCAGGGAGGUCAGGAACCAUCGAGCUUGAGACAUUUAGGUAGCAGAACCUCAGUCUCUAUAGUCCCCAGUCAGGUUUAAACAUUCAAGGAUGGGGAAUCUGAUUAUUUCACUAAGAGGGAUGGGAUCUUUCAUCAGAACAAAGGUCAGUGAAAGAAUUCUGGACCAACCAAGCAAUAGUUACCAAAGGAGACAAAAAAAACAAGGUGUCAACAUCCACGUGGAGAUGUUGAGUAAACCUUUAAAUAUGUAAGUCUGAAUCUCAAAAGAGAGGGCUAGACUGGGAUAAACGAUUGGGAAUCAUAAAGAUAACUGAAAUAAUGGGCAUGGUGUAGAUUGCCCAGAAAGAGAGUGAGAGGCCAUGCAGCCCUCCAGCUCUGUUGCCCGAGGGCAGGAGCGCUUACUACACAGUAAUUGUAGCUGGAGGAGUGUUCCUAUUUGGGGGAGUGCAAAAAAGUGUUCCUAGAGAUUGGGAAGAGUGUAGGGUAUGGGACUAUAACACUGUGCUGAGAACAUUCUGUUUCAUAAGAAUGAACUUGUUAUGUGGAGAUUUUAAUGGAAUGUAACAUCUUUCUGUCAAAGUUACAAUAAAUGCCAUCUUAUUUUUUCUGUAACAUUUAUCAUUUAUAUUGCACCUGGGCCUGUGUUGAGUGUUUUAUGAGUGUGAUCUUAUUUAAUCCUCACAACAAAUUAAUGAGGUAGGUAUUAUUAUCAACCACAUUUUACAGUUCAGUUACUGAAAUCUCAGAGAGUUUAAGUAAUUUACUCAAGGUCAUAUUGCUGAAAAGGGUAGAAAUGGGACUUAAGUAAGGUCUACCAGAAUUUAAAAAAAUUUCUACUCUAUAUUAGAUGAUGCAGCAAUACAAACAUUAGCUAUGGUUUACGAUUCUUGAGCCCCUACUGUGUACCAUGCAAUGUGCUGAAUACUUUAUCUUAUUUAAUCUUAAUAAAACAUGAUACAGAAAGUACCAUCAUUAUCCCUCCUUAACUGAUGAAACUAAGACCUGGAAAUAUUAAUUUCCUGGUUGUCACACAGUCAGUAAGUGGUAGAGUCAGUACUUGAAGACAUUUGCUUGAUUCUAAGGCCUAUAUGUUUCACCAACACACACUUUUCUCUAACAAAAAUAACCAAAUCUUUUAACAGUGGCUCUCUUCCCUGGCUUUGCACUAGAAUCACCUGGGAAGCUUUAAAAAAUGAUGCUGAGCCUUAUCAUCAAAGAUUCUGAUAUAAUUUAACAGUAAUGUGGACAAGUCAUUGGGUUUUUAAAAAGCUAUUCACUCAUUCAAUUUAUUUAAUAAAUAUUUAAUGAAUGUCUACUCUGUGCCAAACACUUUCUAGGCAUUUACAUUCUAGCAGGAUGUAUCAGUUAGCCAUUGCCACAGUGAUGUGUAACAACAACCACAAAAUUUCCGUGGCAUGAAAAAUUAAUCACUUAUUAAGCAUUUAUCUUCACAGAUCUGGAGGGCAGCUGAGACUCAGAUGAUUAAAGAGGGCUCUGUUGGGUAACUUUAUUCAGGCUGGGGUCACUGUGCUUUCCUGCUGCAGUACUGUGGGUAAGCUAUGAUGGUUCUGCUUCAUGUAUUUCUCAUCCUCCUUAGACCAGUGAACUAGCUGGGUCUCCUUUCUCUGUGGCUUCUUUCAUGAAUCAUAAGAGAUGACAUGUCCAACUCUGGGUUCACUCCAUUAACCAAAGUCUCAUGACUGAGCUCAAAGACAGGAGGUGGGAAAAUAAGCUCCAUUUUUUGGUGUGUGGAUUUGCAAAGUUCAUGACAAAGGUGGAGAAAGGGGCCAGUAAUUCAAUUUAGGUGGGAAAGACUAACAAAGAACAAUAAGCAUGAUACAUAAGUAAAUUAUCAAGUAUAUUAAAAGGUGAUAAGUAAUAUUUCAGGAUUCUAAUGUGUAGCUAGGACUGAGAACUACUGAUCUUACAGUGUUAAACCUGGAAAGAAACCUGGUCUAACAUUCCUUGAACCAUUUUCAAAAUAGUAAAGCAGACCCUUCUCCCAGAAAGGAGAAGAAUCUUAUUCGAGGUCCAUGGAUAGAUAGAAAUGGAGCUAGGACCCAGGUCUUCUGAUUCUAUAGACUAUUUCUCUUAUACCACAGUAUUCCAAUCUGUAGUCUUAGAAUUCUCCCUUUAUUGAUGGCACCAAAAAUAUGUUGUGGAAGGACAUCGUCAUUCUUACUUCUCUUGAUCUCAGACAUUAGGGGUAUGCUACCUAAUUCCUAUACUUCUCUUAGUGACUCAAUUCAGAGCCCAAUUUGACAUUCUCCAUGUUUGUACCUUUCAAAACUUUAUACACAUUCUAUCCUCUUUCAGCCUUUUUUUUUUUUCUUCAAGUUGAAGACUGUUCGUUUUGGUCUGUCCUCAUGUGAUUCCCCAGGGUCCUACCUCAGCUGUCUGCUUGGUUAUUGGGCCUUCUCUUUUCUCCAGCUCUCUAAUGCCUUGAAUGAAGAGUCUUUCUUGAGUUACUUUUUUACUCUGAGCAUCCACUAGGCCUUAUAGUCAUUGUUGCUGUUUUGGAUUACAGUCUUCUUGAUUUGCCAGGAUGAACAAUCAGAAGAAAAGAAAAUAUAUGGAACUUGCUUGUACCUGGAGUUUAUUGUCUGGAGAGAAUGUUGCUUCAAGUUCUCUGGCUUCAUUUUCAUGUAAAGAGCUUACAGAUUACUGGGAAAUAUUCAGAAGACAUCUAAAAGAAAAAUACCUAAAGAUAGGAGUUGAUAAAUGUUAUCACCAUGGCAAGCAUAUAGAAUCACAACUGCUUCUUAUAAAAGACCAUGGUAUAUCAGAAGAGACACCAUGUGAAAUUCCUCAACAAGAUCAUUUUAUUGACAUGGAACAUGUAUUUGAUCCUAGUGAAGAGGGCUCCAGCUCAUCCCGAACUGUGGUGCUUCAGGGAUGUGCUGGGACUGGGAAACAGCUGUGGUGCACAAGUUCAUGUUUGGGCAGCAGGAACGGUUACUCCAGGGAGGUUUGACUAUCUCAUCUAUGUCAACUGAGAGAAAUCUGCCAUAUUGCUAACCUUAGUGCUGCUGACCUUAUCACUAACACUUUUCAAGAUAUAAAUGGACCAAUCUUGGACACUAUUCUCAUAUAUCCAGAGAAGAUUCUGUUCAUUCUCGAUGGAUUUCCUGAGCUGCAGGGCCCUGUUGGUGACCAAGAAGAGGAUCUUAGUGUUCACCCCCAGGAGAGGAAGCCAGUAGAGGGUCUCUUGUGCAGUUUUGUGAGGAAAAAACUGCUCCCUGAUUCCUCCCUCCUGAUAACUGCCCGGCCUACAACCAUGAAGCUCCACUCUGUUAAAACAACCUAUCCAGGCAGAGAUCUUACGGUUUACAGAUACUGAAAAGACAGCAUAUUUACUGAGCCAGUUUUCAGGUGCUAAUACAUCAAUGAAAGUCUUUUACAAUCUUUGAGAGAAUGAGGACCUUGACUUUAUGUCUUCACUUCCCAUCGUCUCCUGGAUGAUAUGCAGUGUCCUGCAGUCACAGGGAGAUGGUGACAGGACUCUCUUGAGAUCACUUCAGACCAUGACUGAUGUGUAUUUAUUCUACUUUUCCAAGUGCCUCAAAACCCUUACAGGCAUCUCAGUAUGGGAGGGACAAAGUUGCCUGUGGGGUCUUUGCUGUUUGGCUGCAGAAGGUCUGCAAAACCAUCAGGUUUUGUUUGCAGUCAGUGACCUCAGAAGACAUGGGAUAGGAGUGUGUGAUACCAACUACAUUUUUCUCAGUCGAUUUUUGAAAAAGGCUGAAGGAGCUGUCAGUGUCUAUACUUUCCUUCACUUCAGUUUCCAAGAGUUCUUGACUGCUGUCUUCCAUGCCCUGAAGAAUGACAAUAGCUGGAUUUUUUUUUUUUUAUCAAGCAGAGAAAAUGUGGCAAGAAAUGUUCUAACAAUAUGGAAAAGGUUUUUCAUCACUAAUGAUGCAAUUCUUAUUUGGCCUCUUACAUAAAGAGAAAGGAAAGGCUGUGGAAACUACUUUUGGAAUAAAACUUUCCCCAGGACUUCGAGAGGGGUUACUGAAGUGGACUGAGAGAGAAAUAAAGGAUAAGGCUUCUAGGUUACAGAUUGAGCCGGUGGACCUGUUUCACUGUUUGUAUGAGAUUCAGGAAGAAGAAAAUGCAAAAAGGAUAAUUGAUGAUUUACAGUCAAUUAUACUGCUUUAACCUACCUAUACAAAAAUGGACAUUCCGGCUAUGUCCUUCUGUGUAAAAAGCAGUCACAGUCACCUGUCAAGUGUCUCUGAUGUGUCAGCACCUACUUGGAUUUGAAGAGGAAGAGCGAGCCUCAACAUUCGUGCCACUAGCCUUGACACUUAAUCAGUGUCCUUUCAGCUGUGCAGUUUGCCAGUGUCUCAGCUACACCUGCUCUGCCAAGGACUGCGUAAUCCAUGCUGUAAAAUCAAAGAC
Long non-coding RNA from Cercocebus atys (sooty mangabey), 5068 nucleotides. RefSeq lists it as uncharacterized. The record is from RefSeq and is a predicted model, not a curated record. Lineage: Eukaryota; Metazoa; Chordata; Mammalia; Primates; Cercopithecidae. The transcript is spliced from 4 exons.